AUUGAACGCUGGCGGCAGGCCUAACACAUGCAAGUCGAGCGGAUGAAGGGAGCUUGCUCCUGGAUUCAGCGGCGGACGGGUGAGUAAUGCCUAGGAAUCUGCCUGGCAGUGGGGGAUAACGUCCGGAAACGGGCGCUAAUACCGCAUACGACCUGAGGGAGAAAGUGGGGGAUCUUCGGACCUCACGCUAUCUGAUGAGCCUAGGUCGGAUUAGCUAGUUGGUGGGGUAAAGGCCUACCAAGGCGACGAUCCGUAACUGGUCUGAGAGGAUGAUCAGUCACACUGGAACUGAGACACGGUCCAGACUCCUACGGGAGGCAGCAGUAGGGAAUAUUGGGCAAUGGGCGAAAGCCUGAUCCAGCCAUGCCGCGUGUGUGAAGAAGGUCUUCGGAUUGUAAAGCACUUUAAGUUGGGAGGAAGGGCAGUAAGUUAAUACCUUGCUGUUUUGACGUUACCAACAGAAUAAGCACCGGCUAACUUCGUG
RNAcentral lists this ribosomal RNA (484 nucleotides) under uncultured bacterium. RNAcentral's name for it is "partial 16S ribosomal RNA". It matches the Rfam family "Bacterial small subunit ribosomal RNA", at positions 30 to 507 of the family's 1533-position model. The record is from RNAcentral.